UUAAUUAAAUUACAAAAAGACGAAAACGACGCCGCAGCCAGGUAGGCGCACAAUUAACUAGCCGCCUAGGUUUUCAAUUUCAACUUUUAGUGGCUGGUGACCUCCGAGCUCCGACCCGAAUUAGUAGCAGAGAGAGUAGAGGUUUAGGGUUUAAGGCCAGGCCAACAGCGACGGAGCGGAACAGCGAAGCUAAGAGAGGGAGAGAGAGAGAUGGUGAGGCUGACUGCCGACUUGGUAUGGAAGAGCCCUCACUUCUUCAAUGCUCUUAAGGAGCGAGAGUUGGAUCUCCGAGGUAAUAAGAUUGCUGUGAUUGAAAACUUGGGAGCUACAGAGGACCAAUUUGACACCGUUGAUUUGUCUGACAAUGAAAUCGUCAAGCUCGAAAACAUGCCCUAUCUUAAUCGUUUGGGUACUUUGAUUAUUAAUAACAACCGAAUCACCCGUAUCAAUCCCAACAUUGGAGAGUUCUUGCCGAAGUUACACACCUUGGUGCUUACCAACAACAGGCUAGUCAACCUGGUAGAGAUUGACCCUCUUGCGUCCCUCCCAAAGUUGCAGUACCUUAGCCUUUUGGAUAACAACAUCACCAAGAAACCCAACUAUAGGCUUUACUUGAUUCAUAAGUUAAAAUCGCUUCGGGUUCUGGAUUUUAAGAAGGUGAAGAACAAGGAGAGACUGGAAGCACAAACUUUGUUUUCAUCUAAAGAGGUUGAAGAAGAGACUAGAAAGGUAUCUCCCCAAAAAUUCAUGCCUGCAGAGGUUCCAGAAGUUUCCCAGGAACAACAGGCUCCAAAAGUUGUUGCCCCCACUCCUGAACAAAUUAUGAAAAUCAAGGCUGCCAUAGUGAAUUCCUCAACUCUUGAAGAGGUUGCUAGACUUGAAAAGGCACUGAAGUCAGGUCAGCUUCCUGCAGAUUUGGAAAUUUUUGAUGAUGAUGCUGAACCCAAUAGUGUCCAAGAAAAGGAUGAUAAAAUGGACACAACUACUGAAAAUGAGGCUAGUACUGAACCAAAAGAGAUGGAGGAGCAGAAGAACGAUGAAGCUGAAGUGAUGGAACAGGAUGAGUAGGUAAAUGAGCUAGUCCAACGGUUGCAUUGAGAUUUGAAUUGGAGAGCUUUUGAGAGUCACCGUAUCAUGCUUUUGGAUUGUCCACGGUCAAACACCCCGACCUUGUUGACCUUAUCACUUCUCGAUCCACUUGGGAAGAAUCAAUUGUUUAGCAAGGAGUAGGAGAAUCCAAAUAUAUCCUGGCAUCGUAAAGCUUGUCCGAUUCGAACCCCUUGGCUGCGCCUGGAAAAGUUAUUGAUUCGGAAACUCUGCUAUUCCUUGAACUCUGUUCAAUAUAUACGAGAGAACAAGGGGAUUCUGCCUGUGUAAGAACAAUUUAUUUUUGCCUGAUUAAUUAACACUAAUCUUUUCCCUUUCUAACAUUGCUUUUGGGAGAGUUGGAACGGUUCAUAUCUGUAUUAUGUUGAUACAAAGUUUGUGUCAAAUUUCAUAUGUUCGUGUUGUUUGAGUUACAAAAUAACGAAAGCCGUCAACCACUGCACAAUUUUUUCUUA
Molecule: RNA transcript, 1562 nt
Organism: Pyrus x bretschneideri (Chinese white pear)
Lineage: Eukaryota; Viridiplantae; Streptophyta; Magnoliopsida; Rosales; Rosaceae
Gene name: U2 small nuclear ribonucleoprotein A'
Exons: 9
Source: RefSeq, a predicted model, not a curated record